GUGCAUGUGAGUCCAGCAGAGAAGACACGUGACCAUCUCCCAUCUCGGAGAUAAUUAGCUGGUGCUUCCUUCCUAAAUGAGACCUGGGGCUCACAGGGGUGAAUGGAAGGCUUCCUCCUGACCCAUCUACGUUAUUAGGUUGAGCUUGGUGACCAAAAUGACAUCACAGAGUCUGUAGCUGUCACUCUCUGGACCGGCCCACUUCUGAAGUACCACAUACCUUGGGUCAGAGCCAGCCCAGCCAAAUGGGCCCAGCCUGACUUGACUUAGCAGAUAGGUGCCACGCUUCACUCAAGCAAACGGAGGCGAAUUGUUUCCUCACAAACAGCUGGAGCUGUCCAAUAUGCCCCACCUGCAAUGGAAGAGGAGAUGGAGUCUUGGAUGAGGAGGACGCCGCUCACUCUCUGUGAGGAUAUUGUAGGAUCCUGUGGUGCUGGAUUCACAAAUGCCUGCUACUGAGGUUCAAACUCAUCUAGUUGCCUUGCUGUAGAAUUGUUGUGGAUUAGGUGAGCACCUGGUCAUGAGCACAGGGAGAGGUACACGCAGUGUAUUUUGGGAUGGAUGUGGUUGGGAAGGGCGCAAAGGCCCCUGAAGAGCAUCCCAUCAUGGAGAAAGGAGACAUCCAUUAGUAGUACACCAUUCUCUCCCCUGCUCUUGGGUUCAGCACCCGGAGCGAUGGAGGCAGCUGAUUUGCACCUUCUUGGACUAAUACAUUUGCGUGUGUUUUAAUUUCAAGGCUGAUUUUUCUGUUUGAAUAGUUGUUUUCUACCACCCUCGCUGUCUAGUGCUUUGGUUUCCUUUGAACAGUGCACUUACAUGAGGAACCAGGAGCUGGACUUAAUGAUGCUUGUGGGUCUCUUCCUCUUGGGUUAUUCUGUGACUCCAUGAUCUCUUUCUCACAGGAAGGGCUGAGGGUGAUGCAUAGAUAGCAGGCUGAGGAAUGUACUGCAAACUCUACAGACAGUUACUAUGAUAGAAGACCAUAGUUUCCUCAGAUGAAGAGUGCUGCCUGUAUAGAUACUGUCAUGAUGAUGGAUGACUACAUUGGCUUACUUUCUCACUGCUGUUAAGGGCAGGCCUGGAGAGGAUUUCCCAGCACAGACAGAGUACGCUUCUGAUGUCAUGUCUUUGGCUCUGCUCAUGUUUUUCCAUACCGGCCACCACUAACACCAGGUCAGUAACCAGGGAUUCCUUCCCCUUCUGCACAGGCAUCCAAAAGCUCUGUCCCAUUUCAUCUGUGACUCUAGGAGCCACCGAAGAAGGAAAGUAGCUGAAAAAUGAAUGUAUUAGAUGGCACCAGAGAAGUCAUCUGCUGUUCAGUCCACCUCUCUGCUGUGCCAGAGAACAGUCACCAUUCAGCUGAGAUGAAGGAGAAAACUGUGGACAGCAGAGCUGAGGAAUUGCCUCUCUUUUCUGGGGCGCUGUGCAUACACCUGUUUUGCAUGGCAUUGGUAUGCUUUUACAGAAUGUUUUUAAUUCAUCCUACCUUCUUCCAGCAUGCUGGAGCAGCAUGACUGCCCAUGGCUAUUGCAGUUGACCACGAUAAUUGCAGGCCUUCGUAGUCCAACACAAGAUAGCCUAAGGUUGUGGCUUCUUGACUGCUCUCAACUGCUUUAAUAAGCUGCUUGCAGGCUGCACUAUAAUGUGUUUGAGGAGACAGUAAUGCUGCAGCCUGAGUCCAACCAUUCUCAGCUUUAUUGCUGUUGAGAACACCAGGGAAGCAGUAGACACAGUGGAUUUUCAAGGCUUCUGACUCUCGAUGUACCCGCCUCCCAACUUUGAUACAUCAACACAGAGUUCAAGGAAUGCCCCCAGGAAAAUAAUCUCUCGGAUAAAUGGGAUGGAAAGGAACGUUUGCUUAAAAUGUUUAAACAUAACCUAAUUAGUAAAUAAAGUGCGAUUCAAAUAAGGCAUGGAGAAUUCCUGCGUGGCAGUGCUACGCCACUUGUGAAUAUUUCUUGUGUAGUGGAAGAGGAAAAAAAUAAAACAGAUGCCAAAGGAAAUAAGGCUCUAAAUUCAAAACACAGCUAUGGGCUCCCAUUUUUCUUUGAAGAUCAUUUCAAAUCAAAAGAGAAGAAAUCUUCCUAAACAUACCCACAUUCAAAGAUGAAGUUUCCAAAGAGCUGGGCCUUUCAAGGUAGGAAAGUAAGCAUGGUCACAAGCUCUGUGCCACAGCAAUGAUGCCUCAGAGUCCUUUUUUAUCAUCACAAAGAUCAAAAUUUCUUCAUCUGCUGAGGACAACUUAAUGUUACUAAUGCUAAUCAACCUUCACCUCUGCAAAGUACACUCAUAUAACUCUUUAUAGCACCGAGCUAUCUUACUUUGAGUAAGUCAAACUGUUAAUCAUUGCAUUGAGUCUGCUUUCUGACCUACGAGCAAGGAACGUCCCUACCUUGGCUUUUGUUCCCGAACCUUUUGUCCCUGGAAGACGAUUUUCUACUGGCACAAUUAAGGACAAGGGGAAAGUUUAUUAUCUCUCAUGUUUUUCGUGCUCUCCUGAGCCACUGUGUAUAUUGCUAUCUGAAUCCAUGCUGUACUAGUGAUUAUACUAACAGUAUUCGUGUGCUCUGUGCCUGCACAAGCUGGCAGUGCACAAGAGUGAGGAGCACAGCUACACCUGGGCUUCUGCAGCAGCUGGGUAAGGCCUGGAGGUGAGAGUCAGGUCACAGCCAU
Numida meleagris (helmeted guineafowl) is the source of this 2673-nucleotide long non-coding RNA. RefSeq lists it as uncharacterized. The transcript has 2 exons. The record is from RefSeq and is a predicted model, not a curated record. Lineage: Eukaryota; Metazoa; Chordata; Aves; Galliformes; Numididae.